This 81-nucleotide transfer RNA is filed under the name Osphya bipunctata. RNAcentral describes it as "tRNA-Ser". The record is from RNAcentral. Lineage: Eukaryota; Metazoa; Arthropoda; Insecta; Coleoptera; Melandryidae.
AACUAAUGAGCUUGAAUAAGCUUAUAUUUUGAAAAUAUAAGAAAGAAAACCAAUUUCUAUUAGUUUAGGUAACAAAAUUUU